This 497-nucleotide ribosomal RNA is filed under the name uncultured bacterium. RNAcentral's name for it is "partial 16S ribosomal RNA". It matches the Rfam family "Bacterial small subunit ribosomal RNA", at positions 28 to 507 of the family's 1533-position model. The record is from RNAcentral.
GAUGAACGCUGGCGGCGUGCCUAAUACAUGCAAGUCGAGCGAACGGACGAGAAGCUUGCUUCUCUGAUGUUAGCGGCGGACGGGUGAGUAACACGUGGAUAACCUACCUAUAAGACUGGGAUAACUUCGGGAAACCGGAGCUAAUACCGGAUGAUAUUUUGAACCGCAUGGUUCAAUAGUGAAAGACGGUCUUGCUGUCACUUAUAGAUGGAUCCGCGCUGCAUUAGCUAGUUGGUAAGGUAACGGCUUACCAAGGCAACGAUGCAUAGCCGACCUGAGAGGGUGAUCGGCCACACUGGAACUGAGACACGGUCCAGACUCCUACGGGAGGCAGCAGUAGGGAAUCUUCCGCAAUGGGCGAAGGCUUGACGGAGCAACGCCGCGUGAGUGAUGAAGGUCUUCGGAUCGUAAAACUCUGUUAUUAGGGAAGAACAUAUGUGUAAGUAACUGUGCACAUCUUGACGGUACCUAAUCAGAAAGCCACGGCUAACUACGUG